Molecule: non-coding RNA, 502 nt
Organism: Arachis ipaensis
Lineage: Eukaryota; Viridiplantae; Streptophyta; Magnoliopsida; Fabales; Fabaceae
Source: RefSeq, a predicted model, not a curated record
GGGAGGAUAUCAUGUCAAUGUUGCCAAGACAUCAGAUAAACAAUAUGGUUCUGAAUUAUAUGGUCUUUUUUUUCAACAAAUUAAGGCCACCUAGCUUUGAUGUCUAUUGCAUAAAUGCUUUUGUUUUGGGAGAGAUGUUCUCACAUUGGGGACACUUGGUCAAAAGAAAGAAAAAAAGUUAUGUACUUCUUCUCGAUGAUUUUGGAAAGAAUGGUGACAGCUUCUUUGAGCAAAAGGAAAUUCCAAAACAUAGAUGGGUGAGUAAAACUAAAACUAUUCUCUAUGUAUUGUGUUAAUUUUUUUGUUUGUGCCAGAGCUAUAUUUGCUAUGUAUUUAUUUUGUCGGUGUCAUGCUAUUUGUGGAUUAAUUUCAUUCCUUCCCUGUCAUAGUUGAAACUUCUCUACCAUAGUUGAAUCCCUUAAGAUUAUAGUACUAGACCCAAAAUGUUUACCUUUAUUUAAUUCUGGGUGUGUCUAUUCCCUGUGCUUUGCACUUUCUUCAG